GGAAUCUUGCGCAAUGGGCGAAAGCCUGACGCAGCAACGCCGCGUGCGGGAAGAGGGCUUUCGGGCUGUAAACCGCUUUCAGUAGGAACGAAACUGACGGUACCUACAGAAGAAGGAGCGGCCAACUAUGUGCCAGCAGCCGCGGUGACACAUAGGCUCCAAGCGUUGUCCGGAUUUAUUGGGCGUAAAGAGCUCGUAGGCGGUUGAGUAAGUCGGGUGUGAAAACUUUGGGCUUAACCCAAAGAUGCCACUCGAUACUGCUUUGACUUGAGUUCGGUAGGGGAGUGGGGAAUUCCUUGUGUAGCGGUGAAAUGCGCAGAUAUAAGGAGGAACACCGGUGGCGAAGGCGCCACUCUGGGCCGAUACUGACGCUGAGGAGCGAAAGCGUGGGGAGCAAACAGGAUUAGAUACCCUGGUAGUCCACGCGGUAAACGGUGGUCACUAGGUGUGGGUCUCUUCAAACGAGAUCUGCGCCGUCGCUAACGCAUUAAGUGACCCGCCUGGGGAGUACGGUCGCAAGACUAAAACUCAAAUGAAUUGACGG
This 544-nucleotide ribosomal RNA is filed under the name uncultured bacterium. RNAcentral describes it as "bacterial SSU rRNA". It matches the Rfam family "Bacterial small subunit ribosomal RNA", at positions 358 to 916 of the family's 1533-position model. The record is from RNAcentral.